CUUGUGGAUGAUGAGAACGAGAGUCA
RNAcentral lists this small RNA (26 nucleotides) under Arabidopsis thaliana (thale cress). Its description in RNAcentral is "ATSL056330". Lineage: Eukaryota; Viridiplantae; Streptophyta; Magnoliopsida; Brassicales; Brassicaceae. The record is from RNAcentral.